This 497-nucleotide ribosomal RNA is filed under the name uncultured bacterium. RNAcentral's name for it is "partial 16S ribosomal RNA". It matches the Rfam family "Bacterial small subunit ribosomal RNA", at positions 28 to 507 of the family's 1533-position model. The record is from RNAcentral.
GAUGAACGCUGGCGGCGUGCCUAAUACAUGCAAGUCGAGCGAACGGACGAGAAGCUUGCUUCUCUGAUGUUAGCGGCGGACGGGUGAGUAACACGUGGAUAACCUACCUAUAAGACUGGGAUAACUUCGGGAAACCGGAGCUAAUACCGGAUAAUAUUUUGAACCGCAUGGUUCAAAAGUGAAAGACGGUUUUGCUGUCACUUAUAGAUGGAUCCGCGCUGCAUUAGCUAGUUGGUAAGGUAACGGCUUACCAAGGCAACGAUGCAUAGCCGACCUGAGAGGAUGAUCAGCCACACUGGAACUGAGACACGGUCCAGACUCCUACGGGAGGCAGCAGUAGGGAAUCUUCCACAAUGGGCGAAAGCCUGACGGAGCAACGCCGCGUGAGUGAUGAAGGUCUUCGGAUCGUAAAACUCUGUUAUUAGGGAAGAACAUAUGUGUAAGUAACUGUGCACAUCUUGACGGUACCUAAUCAGAAAGCCACGGCUAACUACGUG